RNAcentral lists this ribosomal RNA (387 nucleotides) under Sarsia sp. Its description in RNAcentral is "partial small subunit ribosomal RNA". It matches the Rfam family "Eukaryotic small subunit ribosomal RNA", at positions 582 to 975 of the family's 1831-position model. The record is from RNAcentral. Lineage: Eukaryota; Metazoa; Cnidaria; Hydrozoa; Anthoathecata; Corynidae.
AUUCCAGCUCCAAUAGCGUAUAUUAAAGUUGUUGCAGUUAAAAAGCUCGUAGUUGGAUUUCGGAAUGGGUCAAUUGGUCCGCCGCAAGGUGAGUUACUGGUUGGUCUGUUCUUCUUCGCAAAGACUGCGUAUGCACUUUAUUGGGUGUGCGUAGGAUUUACGACGUUUACUUUGAAAAAAUUAGAGUGUUCAAAGCAGGCUAUCGCUUGAAUACAUGAGCAUGGAAUAAUGGAAUAGGACUUUGGCCUUAUUUUAUUGGUUUCGAACACCGGAGUAAUGAUUAACAGGGACAGUCAGGGGCACUCGUAUUCCGCCGAGAGAGGUGAAAUUCUCAGACCAGCGGAAGACGAACCACUGCGAAAGCAUUUGCCAGGGAUGUUUUCAUCA